RNAcentral lists this ribosomal RNA (857 nucleotides) under uncultured archaeon. RNAcentral's name for it is "bacterial SSU rRNA". It matches the Rfam family "Archaeal small subunit ribosomal RNA", at positions 56 to 922 of the family's 1478-position model. The record is from RNAcentral.
AGUCACGUAGAAAUACGUGGCAAACGGCUCAGUAACACGUAGUCAACAUGCCCAGGGGACGUGGAUAACCUCGGGAAACUGAGGAUAAACCGCGAUAGGCCAUGAUUUCUGGAAUGGUUCAUGGCCGAAAUCUAUAUGGCCCCUGGAUUGGACUGCGGCCGAUCAGGCUGUUGGUGAGGUAAUGGCCCACCAAACCUGUAACCGGUACGGGCUCUGAGAGGAGGAGCCCGGAGAUGGGCACUGAGACAAGGGCCCAGGCCCUAUGGGGCGCAGCAGGCGCGAAAUCUCUGCAAUAGGCGAAAGCUUGACAGGGUUACUCUGAGUGAUUCCCGCUAAGGGGAUCUUUUGGCACCUUUAAAAAUGGUGCAGAAUAAGGGGUGGGCAAGUCUGGUGUCAGCCGCCGCGGUAAUACCAGCACCCCGAGUGGUCGGGGCGAUUAUUGGGCCUAAAGCAUCCGUAGCCGGUACUGCAAGUCUUCCGUUAAAUCCACCUGCUUAACAGUUGGGCUGCGGGGGAUACUACAGCGCUAGGAGGCGGGAGAGGCAAGCGGUACUCAAUGGGUAGGGGUAAAAUCCGCUGAUCCAUUGAAGACCACCAGUGGCGAAGGCGGCUUGCCAGAACGCGCUCGACGGUGAGGGAUGAAGGCUGGGGGAGCAAACCGGAUUAGAUACCCGGGUAGUCCCAGCUGUAAACGAUGCAGACUCGGUGAUGGGCUGGCCUUGUGCCAACCCAGUGCCGCAGGGAAGCCGUUAAGUCUGCCGCCUGGGGAGUACGGUCGCAAGACUGAAACUUAAAGGAAUUGGCGGGGGAGCACCACAAGGGGUGAAGCCUGCGGUUCAAUUGGAGUCAACGCCGGA